UACAGAGGUCUCAAGCGUUGUUCGGAUUCAUUGGGCGUAAAGAGCUCGUAGGCGGCUGCUCAAGUCGAAUGUGAAAACUCGAGGCUCAACCUCGAGCCUGCAUUCGAUACUGGGCGGCUAGAGUCUGGUAGGGGGAUCUGGAAUUCCUGGUGUAGCGGUGGAAUGCGCAGAUAUCAGGAGGAACACCGGUGGCGAAGGCGGGAUCCUGGGCCAGUACUGACGCUGAGGAGCGAAAGCGUGGGGAGCAAACAGG
This 253-nucleotide ribosomal RNA is filed under the name uncultured bacterium. RNAcentral's name for it is "partial 16S ribosomal RNA". It matches the Rfam family "Bacterial small subunit ribosomal RNA", at positions 524 to 776 of the family's 1533-position model. The record is from RNAcentral.